RNA transcript from Argentina anserina (silverweed cinquefoil), 1527 nucleotides. It is a transcript of the gene named probable choline kinase 2, with no coding region annotated. The transcript has 9 exons. The record is from RefSeq and is a predicted model, not a curated record. Lineage: Eukaryota; Viridiplantae; Streptophyta; Magnoliopsida; Rosales; Rosaceae.
CUCUCUCUCUCUCUCUCUCUCUCUCGGAUUCCGGUCGUCUUCCUCCUCAAAACUCAACUCAAACCGAACGAUCACGUGGCUCUCCGAUAGCCGCCGGUGUUCCUAGCCUUCUUCUCGUACGGUGUCCUACCCGGCCCAUCCGCUUCUUCUUCUUAGAGAUUUCCACAUUGAGACAUUGAGUUGCUUGGGCAGCUCUCAUCAUAUUGGUGUGGAAGAUCAGGUUGAUCAUUUUGGCAUGUGUUCCGCGGAGAAUUCCAUGGGUAGGUAUGAUCAUAUUCCAAAAGAAGCCAAGGAGAUUUUACAAUCAUUGGCUACCAAGUGGGAAAAUGUGGCAGAUUCAACUGCGUUGCAGGUGAUCCCUCUCAAGGGUGCAAUGACCAAUGAGGUGUUCCAAAUAAAGUGGCCAACAAGCACCGGGGAAGUUUCACGUAAAGUUUUGGUUAGGAUUUACGGUGAGGGUGUUGAGGUGUUCUUUGACAGGGACAAUGAGAUCCGGACAUUUGAGUACAUGUCAAAGAACGGACAGGGGCCUCGUCUGCUGGGGCGUUUUCCUAAUGGCCGUAUUGAAGAGUUCAUCCAUGCAAGGACACUUUCAGCAUCUGAUCUUCGUGAUCCAGAUAUAUCUGCUCUUAUAGCUGCUAAAUUGAAGGAGUUCCAUGAUCUUGAGAUGCCCGGUCCAAAGGAUGUCAUCCUCUGGGGCAGAUUGAGAAAUUGGCUCAAUACAGCCAAGAGAUUGUGUAGUCCAGAAGAAGCUAAUGAAUUUCAGUUAGAUUCCAUUCAAGAGGAAAUCUCUGUAUUGGAAAAGGAGCUCUCAGUGCCUAAUCAGCAGAUUGGUUUCUGCCACAAUGAUCUACAGUACGGUAACAUAAUGAUUGAGGAAGAAAGUAAAGCGAUAACAAUAAUUGAUUAUGAGUAUGCAAGUUAUAAUCCUAUUGCAUUUGACAUAGCAAACCAUUUCUGUGAGAUGGCCGCUGAUUAUCACACUGACGCCCCACAUAUUUUGAACUAUAAUAAAUAUCCUGGCUUAGAGGAGCGCAAGAGGUUUGUUCAUUUGUAUCUGAGUUCUUCAGGGAAUCAACCCAGCGACAAUGAAUUGGAGCAGCUAGUUCAAGAUGUUGAGAAGUAUACCCUUCCAGAUCAUCUGUUCUGGGGAUUAUGGGGAAUAAUAUCGGAACAUGUGAAUGAAAUUGAUUUUGACUACUUGGAAUAUGCGAAGCAGAGGUUUCAGCAAUACUGGAGAACCAAAGCUUCAGUAUUGGGUUCUGUUGGAUCCUCACCAGAGUCCUCUUAAGUUCUAUUCACUUGUAGUGAAUUAUCUAGUUGGUUAUAUACAGACUCCUUUGGAUUUGACUAGAUUGCAGAGUAGGUUUAGGUUUAAGCUGCGCCUUCACCUCCUCAAACGGCUCAAAAACCACACCGGUCACCGGCCGGUUGUUCGCGCUCUUUGCCACCGAGCAGACCACGCUCCCGAUGUCAUUCCUCGUCGGCGAUGACCGGAUAGACACUCCACGAGUGUUUGUCUAUUUC